Molecule: long non-coding RNA, 848 nt
Filed under: Carica papaya (papaya)
Lineage: Eukaryota; Viridiplantae; Streptophyta; Magnoliopsida; Brassicales; Caricaceae
Description: long non-coding RNA (CPAP_LNC012006)
Source: RNAcentral
CAAAAAUAAAAUUAAGUGAAGUAGGAUUCUUAUUCAACAAAUGUAACAUCAAUAAACACAUAGAAUUUUCGUAUGUGCAAAUGGUAACAUUUAUACCCCAUUUAAAAUGAGGAGUACCCUCAACAAAUAUACAUUUCAAGACCCAAGGAUCAAGUUUUCCUCUUUAAUGGGAAUUGAUAUGAACAAACACAAUACACCCAAAUAUCCGAGAGACCAAAUGGUUUUUGACACUUAUUAUUGAAGUGUAGAAGAAUUUUGAAUCAAGAAUGCUGGUGGAAAGACGACUAAUAAUGCAGAUGACAGAUGGUUAAUAUUGUUUUAGAAUAUUGAUUUAGGAAAAGAAAACUCUGGUGGUGACUAAAAAGUGACUAUUCUUGUGUUUUGCUACUCCAUUUUGUUGUAGAGUGUAGAUGCAUGAUGAUUCAUAAAGAAUUCCUUCUUGAUAGAAGAAUGGUUGAGGUGUGUCUGUGGCUGGGCUGUGUGCGAUUGAGCGACUGCCAUGGACUAGGUGCAGCUGGGCUAUACACGGUUGGGCUGGGUGAACUGGAUCCAGCAAUGAAGGCCGGUCUUGGUGGAGAUGGCCAGUGCCAUGGACUAGGUGCAGCUGGGCUAUACACGGUUGGGCUGGGUGAACUGGAUCCAGCAAUGAAGGCCGGUCUUGGUGGAGAUGGCCAGGUAAGAUGUUAGCUUGUGCUGGAAAUGGCUGGUCUAUGGUGGUUGGCAACUAAGGUUGUGAUGGCCGACAAUGAAGGUUUGGCUCCCUUUAGGGUUUUAUUAUUUCAGUAAUUAAAGCUAAAUAGUGUUUACAAAAGAGUUCAAGAUUUCUUCACCUAAAGUUUUGAUACUAU